RNAcentral lists this ribosomal RNA (253 nucleotides) under uncultured bacterium. RNAcentral describes it as "partial 16S ribosomal RNA". It matches the Rfam family "Bacterial small subunit ribosomal RNA", at positions 524 to 776 of the family's 1533-position model. The record is from RNAcentral.
UACGUAGGGGGCAAGCGUUGUCCGGAAUCAUUGGGCGUAAAGCGCGCGUAGGCGGCCCGGUAAGUCCGCUGUAAAAGUCAAAGGCUCAACCUUUGAAUGCCGGUGGAUACUGUCGGGCUCGAGUCCGGAAGAGGCGAGUGGAAUUCCUGGUGUAGCGGUGGAAUGCGCAGAUAUCAGGAGGAACACCGAUAGCGAAGGCAGCUCGCUGGGACGGUACUGACGCUGAGGCGCGAAAGCGUGGGGAGCGAACAGG